GACGAACGCUGGCGGCGUGCUUAACACAUGCAAGUCGAACGGAAAGGCCCUGCUUUUGUGGGGUGCUCGAGUGGCGAAGGGGUGAGUAACACGCGAGUAACCUGCCCUUGACUUUGGGAUAACUUCAGGAAACUGGGGCUAAUACCGGAUAGGAGCUCCUGCUGCAUGGUGGGGGUUGGAAAGAUUCGGCGGUUGGGGAUGGACUCGCGGCUUAUCAGCUUGUUGGUGGGGUAGUGGCUUACCAAGGCUUUGACGGGUAGCCGGCCUGAGAGGGUGACCGGCCACAAUAGGACUGAGAUACGGCCCAGACUCCUACGGGAGGCAGCAGUGGGGAAUAUUGCAGAAUGGGCGGAAGCCUGAUGCAGCAACGCCGCGUGCGGGAUGACGGCCUUCGGGUUGUAAACCGCUUUCGCCUGUGACGAAGCGUGAGUGACGGUAAUGGGUAAAGAAGCACCGGCUAACUACGUG
This 468-nucleotide ribosomal RNA is filed under the name uncultured bacterium. Its description in RNAcentral is "partial 16S ribosomal RNA". It matches the Rfam family "Bacterial small subunit ribosomal RNA", at positions 28 to 507 of the family's 1533-position model. The record is from RNAcentral.